This 87-nucleotide transfer RNA is filed under the name Clostridiales bacterium GWF2_38_85. RNAcentral's name for it is "tRNA-Leu". It matches the Rfam family "tRNA". From Rfam's summary of the family: Transfer RNA (tRNA) molecules are approximately 80 nucleotides in length. RNAcentral also lists the same sequence under 2 other names. The record is from RNAcentral. Lineage: Bacteria; Bacillati; Bacillota; Clostridia; Eubacteriales.
GCGGAAGUGGUGAAACUGGUAGACACGCAGCUUUGAGGGGGCUGUGGGAGUAAUCCCGUGGGGGUUCGAGUCCCUUCUUCCGCACCA